RNAcentral lists this ribosomal RNA (1146 nucleotides) under uncultured bacterium. RNAcentral's name for it is "bacterial SSU rRNA". It matches the Rfam family "Bacterial small subunit ribosomal RNA", at positions 336 to 1498 of the family's 1533-position model. The record is from RNAcentral.
CUCCUACGGGAGGCAGCAGUGGGGAAUAUUGCACAAUGGAGGAAACUCUGAUGCAGCGACGCCGCGUGAGUGAAGAAGGUCUUCGGAUCGUAAAACUCUGUCCUUGGUGAAGAAAGAAAUGACGGUAGCCAAGGAGGAAGCCCCGGCUAACUACGUGCCAGCAGCCGCGGUAAUACGUAGGGGGCGAGCGUUGUCCGGAUUUACUGGGCGUAAAGGGUGAGUAGGCGGUAAUAUGUGUCAGGUGUAAAAGGCUAUGGCUUAACCAUAGUUAGCAUUUGAAACUGUAUUACUUGAGUGCAGGAGAGGUAAGUGGAAUUCCUAGUGUAGCGGUGAAAUGCGUAGAUAUUAGGAGGAACACCAGUGGCGAAGGCGACUUACUGGACUGUAACUGACGCUGAGUCACGAAAGCGUGGGUAGCAAACAGGAUUAGAUACCCUGGUAGUCCACGCUGUAAACGAUGAGUGCUAGGUGUUGGGUAGCGAUAUUCAGUGCCGAAGUUAACACAAUAAGCACUCCGCCUGGGGAGUACGGUCGCAAGACUGAAACUCAAAGGAAUUGACGGGGACCCGCACAAGCAGCGGAGCAUGUGGUUUAAUUCGAAGCAACGCGAAGAACCUUACCAAGGUUUGACAUCCCCUUGACAGAUGCAGAGAUGUGUCCUCUCCUUCGGGAGCAAGGGAGACAGGUGGUGCAUGGUUGUCGUCAGCUCGUGUCGUGAGAUGUUGGGUUAAGUCCCGCAACGAGCGCAACCCUUAUCAUUAGUUGCCAGCAAGUUAAGUUGGGCACUCUAAUGAGACUGCCGGUGAUAAACCGGAGGAAGGUGGGGAUGACGUCAAAUCAUCAUGCCCCUUAUAUCUUGGGCUACACACGUGCUACAAUGGUCGGUACAAAGGGCAGCGAAAGAGUGAUCUGGAGCAAAUCUCUAUAAACCGAUCCCAGUUCGGAUUGUAGGCUGCAACUCGCCUACAUGAAGUUGGAGUUGCUAGUAAUCGCGAAUCAGAACGUCGCGGUGAAUGCGUUCCCGGGUCUUGUACACACCGCCCGUCACACCAUGGAAGUUGGUAAUACCCAAAGUCGCUGAGCUAACCGUAAGGGGGCAGGCGCCUAAGGUAGGAUCAAUGACUGGGGUGAAGUCGUAACAAGGUA